UGAGGCCAAGUUCACAUUUCUGUGUGGAGC
This 30-nucleotide non-coding RNA is filed under the name Homo sapiens (human). Lineage: Eukaryota; Metazoa; Chordata; Mammalia; Primates; Hominidae. The record is from RNAcentral.